CUGACGUUUGGAGUGUGGGUAUGAUUGUUAGGAUUAGGGUUCUUCUUUUGGUAAGGGUCAUGGAUAGUGCAGAAAUAGCGGUACUUGAGGAUGACUUAUUGUUCUGGUAGGGUUAGGGCUAGGGUUAGGGUUAGGGUCAGGGUCAGGGUGAUAGAUAGCAUUGAAAUUGAAAUGCCUGUGUCUUCCAGUGUGGGUUGGAAAGUUAGUAUUAGCGUAAGUUCGGGGGGACGGGGAGGGAUAAGGUCACUUGUCAACCACCUGGGAAUGGUGAUUUGGUCCUGCGCCUUAGGGUUAGGGUUAGGGUUAGGAGUAGGUUCAGGUUUAGGGUACCAAUUCAUGUACCUGACGUUUGGAGUGUGGGUAUGAUUGUUAGGAUUAGGGUUCUUCUUUUGGUAAGGGUCAUGGAUAGUGCAGAAAUAGCGGUACUUGAGGAUGACUUAUUGUUCUGGUAGGGUUAGGGCUAGGGUUAGGGUUAGGGUCAGGGUGAGGUAGACAGAUGGCAUUGAAAUUGAAAUGCCUGUGUCUUCCAGUGUGGGUUGGAAAGUUAGUAUUAGCGUAAGUUCGUGGGGACGGGGAGGGAUAAGGUCACUUGUCAACCACCUGGGAAUGGUGAUUUGGUCCUGCGCCUUAGGGUUAGGGUUAGGGUUAGGAGUAGGUUCAGGUUUAGGGUACCAAUUCAUGUACCUGACGUUUGGAGUGUGGGUAUGAUUGUUAGGAUUAGGGUUCUUCUUUUGGUAAGGGUCAUGGA
RNAcentral lists this long non-coding RNA (748 nucleotides) under Heterocephalus glaber (naked mole-rat). RNAcentral describes it as "lncRNA (ENSHGLG00100049259.1)". The record is from RNAcentral. Lineage: Eukaryota; Metazoa; Chordata; Mammalia; Rodentia; Bathyergidae.